Molecule: ribosomal RNA, 253 nt
Filed under: uncultured bacterium
Lineage: Bacteria
Description: partial 16S ribosomal RNA
Rfam family: Bacterial small subunit ribosomal RNA
Source: RNAcentral
GACAGAGGCCACGAACGUUGUUCGGAAUUACUGGGCGUAAAGCGCACGUAGGCGGAUAUUUAAGUCAGGGGUGAAAUCCCAGAGCUCAACUCUGGAACUGCCUUUGAUACUGGGUAUCUCGAGUAUGGAAGAGGUGAGUGGAAUUCCGAGUGUAGAGGUGAAAUUCGUAGAUAUUCGGAGGAACACCAGUGGCGAAGGCGGCUCACUGGUCCAUUACUGACGCUGAGGUGCGAAAGCGUGGGGAGCAAACAGG